RNAcentral lists this long non-coding RNA (1699 nucleotides) under Canis lupus familiaris (dog). RNAcentral's name for it is "lncRNA (ENSCAFG00000055840.1)". The record is from RNAcentral. Lineage: Eukaryota; Metazoa; Chordata; Mammalia; Carnivora; Canidae.
UUCGGAGAGAGAGCAGUCUUUGAGUUUCACCUAAAAGGAAGUUGGGGACAGUAUCACUGUCAGUGUGUUUGCCGUGGGAACGUAGCCAGAUCAUUCAUAUAGCAAUCAUCUCACACACCUAAGUUCCUACUGAUUAGCCAUCAACUGUUAGCAAAAUUCCUCACUUCCUUUGUGCUGAUUUAUGGCAGCAGUAGAAAUAUACCACCCCAGAGGACACGCCUCCUUUCAGCGAGGAACCUAUAAAUAUCAAGGUAUUUUUUAUUCUAAUUGAGAAGAACCCAGCAAAAUGGGGCUCUCCAUGGUCAUCUUUGAAAUAUGUCUUUUACUGGGUCCAGUUCUAUCUUCAGCAAGAUCACAAACAAGGACCCUGGAUACCAUUUCUGAAGACACACGGACAUCACCUGGUAACUCUACACUCUGGGACUGGGUGGUGUGGGGCCCACCCCCACCCCCAAGGACUCAGGAGGGAGUGCUGGGUUUUAGAUGUAGGAAAAGGAAGGACCUCUUCUGAUGUGGUCCACCUGGGCCCUCAGCCCCUUCCUUGGAAGGUUCUGCAUUGAUCAGAAGACAGACCCUGAGUCUCUGCCAGCCUGUGCCAGGCAACCCCUCUUUCCUAGGAUCUCUGCCCUCCCAGGGUGACCCAUGGGGACUGCAGCCAUUUAGCAGGGCAGCAGAGGCAGGUGGGGAAAGGAGUAUCUUACUAAGGCUCUCUGGGUAUAAUUAGUUACUAUUUCUCUUCUUUUCUAGAAUUUUUAUCAAGGUUUGGGGCGGUGGAAAAUUCUACCUCCAUCGAUGCUUCAAGUGGUAAUUUCUGCCACUUUUUUAUCUUAUUAUAGUCCUGUGUAUACAUGAGUGUGCUUGCUUGUGCAAGAAUGCAGACCUUAUGAUUUGGGGCACAUAGUGUAAAUGUUUAUAUAUAUAUAUAUAUAUAUAUAUAUAUAUAUAUAUAUAUAUAUUUAAAUUGUUACUGUUUUAUGGGAUCCCUGGGUGGCGCAGCGGUUUGGCGCCUGCCUUUGGCCCAGGGCGUGAUCCUGGAGACCCGGGAUCGAAUCCCAUGUCGGGCUCCCGGUGCUUGGAGCCUGCUUCUCCCUCUGCCUAUGUCUCUGCCUCUCUCUCUCUCUCUGUGACUAUCAUAAAAAAUAAAAAAAAAAAUUAAAAAAAAAUUGUUACUGUUUUAAAAUAUUUUAAUAUAAUUAAUAUUUAAAUUUUAAUAUUAAAUUAAAAUUAAUAUUUUAAAUACAUAACAGUAUUUAAUAUUAUAAGAUUAUAAUAUUUAACAAAAUAUUAAAUAAAAUAUUUAAAAUUAUUAUUAUUUUUUAAAGAUUUUAUUUAUUUAUCCACAAAAGACACAGAGAGAGAGAGAGAGGCAGAGACACAGGCAGAGGGAGAAGCAAGCUCCAUGCAGGGAGCCUAAUGCGGGAGUCUAUCCCAGGUCUCCAGGAUCACGUCCUGGGCCAAAGGCAGGUGCUAAACCACUGAGCCACCCAGGGAUUCCCUAUUUAAAAAUUAUUUUUAUUUAAAAAUAUACUAUAUAUGUAUAAUAUAUAAUAUGUAUAUACAUUCUAAAAAGCAGAACUUUUAGAUGAUUAAGAGCAACUGAGAUGAUUAAGAGCAACUGCCUGAGUACAAGUCCUGCCCCUUAUCACUUACUAGUCAGGUGGUCUUGGUCACCUUCCAGAGUCUCAGUUUUCCCAUGGGU